CGAGUAUAAACCAAGACUAGCCCAGCUUUACUUUCCGAGUAUAAACCCAGACUAGCCCAGCUUUACUUUCCGAGUAUAAACCCAGACUAGCCCAGCUUUACUUUCCGAGUAUAAACCCAGACUAGCUCAGCUUUACUUUCCUAGUAUAAACCAAGACUAGCCCAGCUUAACUUUCCAAGUAUAAACCCAGACUAGCUCUGCUUUACUUUCCGAGUAUAAACCCAGACUAGCUCAGCUUUACUUUCCUAGUAUAAACCAAG
Non-coding RNA from Pelobates cultripes (western spadefoot toad), 260 nucleotides. NCBI's taxonomy places the organism in Eukaryota, Metazoa, Chordata, Amphibia, Anura, Pelobatidae. The record is from the annotation of a GenBank genome assembly.